UCCAGAAUUCUUCCCAUCUUAUGAAUACAUGAUGCUGCACUCUGGGUUGGCAAAAAAGAUAGCUGUUUAUAUCCAAUACGGCAUACUGCAGCAGAGAAAGUUGUGAUGAGUCUCAUUCAUUGGGGACAUGGCUUCACUUCUGGACUCAAACGGGAGAAAUAGAUAAUCUGAUUGAGCCAAAACUUUAGAAACAAACCCUGAAAUCCUGAUGGACAGAGGGUCAUGCUAAUUUCCUCCUUGAUGAGUUUAUUACCCAUAAAGUUAUCCUUAGGUGGAACUCUACCUCUGAGUUAGAACUUAACCAGCAGCCAAAAAUGAUGAACCAAGGACUUGAAAUGGGGUCACUGUGCUGUUGGAGGUGAAAUCUUUGUGACAACAUAGCAGAUUGAGGCCCAAAUACUGAUGUUCGUUAAAGACAGUCAUUUUUCCUGAUAAGAUCAUAAAGUACACAGCUGAGGAAGGCUACAACGCUCAUAGGUGCUGGCUACGUUAGCUGCACCUACACUAAAGUCAAUGCAUUUGCAUCAACAUGCAAGCAGAGUUUGUCCCAUUUUACAUAAUGUAUGUCUCACUCUGCUCUAGUCAUAACACCGAGUUUUUUGACCUUUUUAAUAUUUCAUGUUUUGAGUAGCUAGUAAGAUUCUUCCCCACAGAUUACAAAGGUUGAAACAAGAGAAGAACUAAAAUGUCCAUUGACUCAAAUUAAAAAAAAAGACAAAAUAGCGAAAGCUAUUAGUUAAAGCAACACUAAUUAAUACAAAAUAUGAGACACUGUUACAGAUUUGAUCUCCUGUUCAAAGUGUUAAAGUUCAUAGUCAAUACAGUUACAUACAUUAGUCUACAGAUAAGUACAUAUUGAUUCAUAGACAUACGCAGAAACAAGCUUGUCUCAUGCAAUUUGAAGGAAGCAGUCUCAGUGUGAAUCGGAACCAAUUAAAAAGUGCUUAUUGAUUUCAUAGUGGAAUGAAUGUAUAAACCAGUACAUUAUGGGCCAGAUUUAUUCGUAAAUUCCAGUGCUUUGUACUGCUUUGGUGAUGCAAAACAGCUGUAGACCAUCUGAGUUGGUCAUUUCAGAUGGUUUUUCUUCUGGUAUCCAGAAGAUACUUACAAAUCUGCCCCUAAGUGUAUAACAAAAAUGAAAAAGUAGGUCAACCGCAAGCACUGACGUGUGCACCAUUACGUUUUGUGGUUUCAUAAACGUAUUUUUGUACUGCAUGAAAGAUGGAUAGAAAUCCUGUUUCUGAUAAAUACACAGACAUGUGUCAGUUGUGUAAAAACCAUUCCAUUGUUGAAGUGAUGACAAUGUAAUAAAUGUGAUCAAGAUGCAGUAGC
This is a long non-coding RNA of Malaclemys terrapin pileata, 1332 nucleotides long. RefSeq lists it as uncharacterized. NCBI's taxonomy places the organism in Eukaryota, Metazoa, Chordata, Testudines, Emydidae. The transcript has 3 exons. The record is from RefSeq and is a predicted model, not a curated record.